GCCGAUGUGGCGGAAUUGGUAGACGCGCUAGCUUGAGGGGCUAGUGGGGGUAACCUCGUGCCGGUUCGAGUCCGGCCAUCGGCACCA
This 87-nucleotide transfer RNA is filed under the name Gammaproteobacteria bacterium. RNAcentral's name for it is "tRNA-Leu". It matches the Rfam family "tRNA". From Rfam's summary of the family: Transfer RNA (tRNA) molecules are approximately 80 nucleotides in length. Their secondary structure includes four short double-helical elements and three loops (D, anti-codon, and T loops). Lineage: Bacteria; Pseudomonadati; Pseudomonadota; Gammaproteobacteria. The record is from RNAcentral.